This 449-nucleotide ribosomal RNA is filed under the name uncultured bacterium. RNAcentral's name for it is "bacterial SSU rRNA". It matches the Rfam family "Bacterial small subunit ribosomal RNA", at positions 329 to 795 of the family's 1533-position model. The record is from RNAcentral.
UUCCAGACUCCUACGGGAGGCAGCAGUGGGGAAUAUUGCACAAUGGGGGAAACCCUGAUGCAGCGACGCCGCGUGAGCGAUGAAGUAUUUCGGUAUGUAAAGCUCUAUCAGCAGGGAAGAAGAUGACGGUACCUGACUAAGAAGCCCCGGCUAACUACGUGCCAGCAGCCGCGGUAAUACGUAGGGGGCAAGCGUUAUCCGGAUUUACUGGGUGUAAAGGGAGCGUAGACGGCGAUGCAAGCCAGAUGUGAAAGCCCGGGGCUCAACCCCGGGACUGCAUUUGGAACUGUGUGGCUGGAGUGUCGGAGAGGCAGGCGGAAUUCCUAGUGUAGCGGUGAAAUGCGUAGAUAUUAGGAGGAACACCAGUGGCGAAGGCGGCCUGCUGGACGAUGACUGACGUUGAGGCUCGAAAGCGUGGGGAGCAAACAGGAUUAGAUACCCGCGUAGGC